Molecule: unclassified non-coding RNA, 237 nt
Filed under: Ascomycota sp.
Lineage: Eukaryota; Fungi; Ascomycota
Description: partial contains small subunit ribosomal RNA, internal transcribed spacer 1, and 5.8S ribosomal RNA
Rfam family: Eukaryotic small subunit ribosomal RNA (bases 1-47)
Source: RNAcentral
AAAGUCGUAACAAGGUUUCCGUAGGUGAACCUGCGGAAGGAUCAUUACAGAGUUCGUGCCCUUCGGGGUAGACCUCCCACCCUUUGUAUACAUACCAUUGUUGCUUCGGCGGCCCGCCGCAAGGCCCCCGGCUCCGGCUGGGGCGUGGCCGCCGGAGGAAAACCAAACCCUGAAUUACAGUGUCGUCCGAGUACUAUAUAAUAGUUAAAACUUUCAACAACGGAUCUCUUGGUUCUG